RNAcentral lists this ribosomal RNA (253 nucleotides) under uncultured bacterium. Its description in RNAcentral is "partial 16S ribosomal RNA". It matches the Rfam family "Bacterial small subunit ribosomal RNA", at positions 524 to 776 of the family's 1533-position model. The record is from RNAcentral.
UACGUAGGGUGCGAGCGUUGUCCGGAAUUAUUGGGCGUAAAGGGCGCGUAGGCGGCUUGGCAAGUGGAUGGUGAAAUCCCUCGGCUUAACCGAGGAACUGCCGUCCAAACUGCUUCGCUUGAGACCGGGAGAGGUGAGUGGAAUUCCCAGUGUAGCGGUGAAAUGCGCAGAUAUCAGGAAGAACACCCGUGGCGAAGGCGGCUUUCUGGGACGGUACUGACGCUGAGACGCGAAAGCGUGGGGAGCGAACAGG